GGUUAAGCGACUAAGCGUACACGGUGGAUGCCCUGGCAGUCAGAGGCGAUGAAGGACGUGCUAAUCUGCGAAAAGCGCCGGCGAGGUGAUAUGAACCCUUGACCCGGCGAUGUCCGAAUGGGGAAACCCAGUGCAAUCCGUUGCACUAUCGUUAACUGAAUACAUAGGUUAACGAGGCGAACCGGGGGAACUGAAACAUCUAAGUACCCCGAGGA
Molecule: ribosomal RNA, 215 nt
Filed under: Enterobacter hormaechei
Lineage: Bacteria; Pseudomonadati; Pseudomonadota; Gammaproteobacteria; Enterobacterales; Enterobacteriaceae
Also listed under: 2 other names
Description: partial 23S ribosomal RNA
Rfam family: Bacterial large subunit ribosomal RNA
Source: RNAcentral